This 1254-nucleotide long non-coding RNA is filed under the name Nicotiana benthamiana. RNAcentral's name for it is "long non-coding RNA (NBEN_LNC028093)". Lineage: Eukaryota; Viridiplantae; Streptophyta; Magnoliopsida; Solanales; Solanaceae. The record is from RNAcentral.
ACAACACUUAAGAACCAGUUUAUCACGGUCAGAUUCACAUCAGAGCAACAUUAAGAUUCAUCAAACUCAAAUCACAAUUUAAGCUUAAAACUCAAUUGAAGACCAAUGACUCAGAACAAAAUCAUAUUGAAUCAGAACAAAAUCAUAUUGAACUUAACAAGGUCAUAUUUCCAACCAUGAUUUGACACAGAUAAAAGGCAUGAACUAACACAAUUCUAACUUGAACAAACAUGAAUGAACACUAACAAGAUACUUAACAGACUGACCUCAUAUGCAAACAAUAAUAGGAAACACAAAGAAAUUAAGAACCGGUCCAAGCAAUGACAUCUGCUUCAAUUUCCGCAGUCUGAUUAUUCAUGUAAAUGACAAACACCCUUUUGUGAGGCACCGAAAAAUGACAUGGACUGCCCGAAAAAUCAAAUUCGGUCGAAUCUGCCAAAGUUCAAACAACAAACAUCACCCUCUUUUUUAUUUAUUUAUGGAUUUAUAAUUUGCAUAUAAUAGUACAUAAAUAAAAAAAAUAAAAAGUAAAUACAAAGGGUGAAGGAGGAUAAGAAAAGGGCAGCGACAACGAGCUACAUGGUUUCAGCGACGAGUCUGGCGGCGGUUCGUUUGAGGUCAUUGCUGGAUGGUCGGAGACGAGCUACUGCUGAGCGGAAGUCGUUUGGAUGCGAAAGAGAUGGAGUUAUGGCAGACUGUGGUCGGAGGUGGUCGUUGUACGGCUGGAGUCGCGACAGGGAUAGGUGAUCAAAGACGGAGAAGUAGGUGGUCGUGACAGUGGUCGACCGUUGUUGACGGACUGGAGGAAGCGCUGGACAAAGUAGCUAUGGUGGUUCGACGUGAGGUUGAGCUCGUUUGGGAGGGUUGACGACGAGAAGAUGGCUGUAGUGGUUUAGGGGGUAGUUUUAAGAUAGGGUUUUGAGUGGUUUCUUGUUAAAGAAGGAGGGCACUCAUGGAUGUCGUGAAGGUGGAGAAGAGGAAGAAGAUGAAGGUUUUCCAAAUGUGUCUCCAAAAAAUGAGAGAAAAUGGUUGAUUCCUAACUUAGCUCCUAGGGUUUGGUUAUUUGGGGUUGGACCGGGUCAGGUUAUGGGUCGUGGGGUGUGGGCUUGGUGUAAGCACGUGAUUUUUUGCCCUACAUGAAGAUAACUCCUAAAAAUAAGUCAAAAUAAAUUUUAUUGAUCUUUUAGAAAUUUUUCUUUUGUAGUCUUAUUUCAUACAUUUUAAUAUUUUAAAAUCACAAUAAUAAAAUAUAAA